Molecule: long non-coding RNA, 1002 nt
Filed under: Homo sapiens (human)
Lineage: Eukaryota; Metazoa; Chordata; Mammalia; Primates; Hominidae
Description: non-protein coding SNHG5:9
Source: RNAcentral
GCCUUCGCGAGCGUCUGGGCGGGUGGUAGGUGAGUGGGUAUUGCGGGCUAGUAUCCGAGCAAAAGAUGGUGGCGCAGGCCGAGUUAAGAGCUUUAAUCCUGUGAAGACAUCUUAGUGAAGAGUUUAGAGUGCUGAGAGUUGAAAGCUUGCACGUGGGAAACGUGCGGCCGGACUGCCACAUGUACUGAGGUUGAGUCGUGACGGCCACAGGCUCCGAGUUUUGGCGUGAGGAACCGCUGAUCGGCCACGGGCGCCGAACUUGCUGGCCUCCGGCAUGUGCCUGAGCGGCGGCGGAAAAACCACCUUAAUUGGGGCGGAGGGUUAGUUUUAACAGCAAAGGGCCUUUACUAAAAUGGCGAAGGCCUUCCGUCGGCGUUGUUUUAAAAUGGGAAGCCUCGACCCUGUAUUGAAACUGAGCUGUUCGAAGGCGGCGUUGUGUGCAAUUCGGAUUAAUGAAGGGGAAGGGUUUUGUGUGGAAAAACGCCUUGGAGUGUGACAUUUCUGCGAGAAUGCUUAAAUACCGAUUUCCCGCAGGAACAAUGGCGCUGUCUUCAGUGGCACAGUGGAGCAGCUCUGAAGAUGCAAAGAUACACGAAAAAACUUCCAGAACAUCUGGGAGAAUAUUUAAUGGAAAAUCGCUUGGUUAAAACCUGACACUUUUAACAGGUAUGUGUUGUUUUAGUACUUUAUGAUUGAGCAUAGCAUUUAAUCCACACCUAGACUAAAUCAAAUUUUUUUUGUCAGUGAACAGCGUUCUGAGUGUGGACGAGUAGCCAGUGAAGAUAAUGAAUGUCGAAUGUGACUGACUAGCAGCUUCAUUUUGAAUGAGGGUCGCUGUCUGCCCAUUGAUAGAGGCCAGAUUGUCUUGGAAGUUCCAAAGUUGCAACGAUUUCUGGCUAGUGCCACGAGGUUUACUUGACUGUUGUGUGAAAAGCUGAUAAGAAAACCAUCCAGAAAAAAGCUCUUCGUUUUACAAACAUGAAAAUAAAACAUGUAAUUUUG